GAAGCCUUCAGAAGUGUUGUCAUUAUUUUUGUUCUCACUUGCACUCCCUCUCUCUGUGUACCUUCCGCAUCGAGAAGGGAGCAAAAGCAAAGGAAGAAAAAACAAUGGCUUCUCCGGUGACACUUCCGAUCUCCAGUCCACAAUCUGCGGCUACUGCCGGAUCUCAAUCUCAGGCACCUAUAUCAACUCCCGCAUUCCGUUCAUUCAUUUCCCGUCUUUCAUCUUCGAUCCGUCAAGGUUUCGCUCAACGCCGCCCUUGGUUGGAACUUCUCGAUCGCACAUCAUUUGCCCGUCCUGACUCCGUCGCUGAAGCAGCUUCUCGCAUCCGCAAAAACUUCUCCUAUUUUCGCGUCAAUUAUGUUACCCUACUUGCUGGCGUACUUGCUCUUUCCCUUCUAUCUCAUCCUUUUUCUCUCCUUGUCCUUCUUGCUCUCCUCGGUGGAUGGUUUUUUCUCUAUUUGUUUAGACCUUCAGAUCAGCCCGUUGUUAUCUUUGGCCGUACUUUCUCUGAUCGUGAAACGUUGGGGAUAUUAGUUGUAUUCACCAUUGUUGUGGUGUUCCUCACUAGUGUUGGAUCCCUGCUUAUCUCUGCUCUUCUUGUUGGAUUGGCUAUUGUUUCUGCUCAUGGAGCUUUUAGGGUUCCUGAAGAUUUGUUCCUUGAUGAUCAAGAGCCUGCCAACGCUGGAUUCCUUUCGUUCCUCGGUGGUGCUGCUUCAUCUGCCGCCGCUGCCGCUGCGCCGGCUGUUGCUGCUCGUGUGUAGUUGGAUCCAUUUGAUUUGAUGACAUGAUAUGAGGUUGGUUUGGAGCUUCUAUAUUUGAUGUGAAUCAGUUAUUCAAACUGUAAUAUUCUUGGUAGAGAAGAAGUAGUUUCUGCGUUGGAUUUUGCAGAAAAUAUUUAGAAAUUUUUUAUCCAGAUUAUAGAUCUUGAUUGGAUCUGUAAUUUCCUACUUUUAGAUCUGUAUUUAACUCUUUACUUCGUUUGCUACUAUAUUUUAAUUCAUGUUUAUCUGUAAGUUGGUGUCUCAAAUGUUAAAUUUAC
RNAcentral lists this unclassified non-coding RNA (1039 nucleotides) under Hevea brasiliensis (rubber tree). The record is from RNAcentral. Lineage: Eukaryota; Viridiplantae; Streptophyta; Magnoliopsida; Malpighiales; Euphorbiaceae.